Molecule: ribosomal RNA, 370 nt
Filed under: uncultured eukaryote
Lineage: Eukaryota
Description: partial 18S ribosomal RNA
Rfam family: Eukaryotic small subunit ribosomal RNA
Source: RNAcentral
CAAUAGCGUAUAUUAAAGUUGUUGCAGUUAAAAAGCUCGUAGUUGGACCUUGGACCUGGACAGGCGGUCCGCCUCACGGCGUGUACUGUCUUGCUGGGUCUUUCCUCUUGGUGAUCUGUUGUUUCGGCAGCAGGGAACCAGGACUUUUACUUUGAAAAAAUUAGAGUGUUCAAAGCAGGCUCGACGCCGGAAUAUAUUAGCAUGGAAUAAUAAAAUAGGACGUGCGGUUCUAUUUUGUUGGUUUUUGGAAUCGCCGUAAUGAUUAAUAGGGACAGUCGGGGGCAUUAGUACUCACAUGCUAGAGGUGAAAUUCUUGGAUUUUGUGAAGACUAACUUCUGCGAAAGCAUUUGCCAAGGAUGUUUUCAUCAA